GGGGGGGGGGGGGGGGGGGCCGGGGGCAGGGAGGGCGGGCGGGGGGGCGAGAAGCUUGCUGCGGUGAUGGUAGCGGCGGACGGGGGGGUAACACGUGGAUAACCUACCUAUAAGACUGGGAUAACUUCGGGAAACCGGAGCUAAUACCGGAUAAUAUUUUGAACCGCAUGGUUCAAAAGUGAAAGACGGUCUUGCUGUCACUUAUAGAUGGAUCCGCGCUGCAUUAGCUAGUUGGUAAGGUAACGGCUUACCAAGGCAACGAUGCAUAGCCGACCUGAGAGGGUGAUCGGCCACACUGGAACUGAGACACGGUCCAGACUCCUACGGGAGGCAGCAGUAGGGAAUCUUCCGCAAUGGGCGAAAGCCUGACGGAGCAACGCCGCGUGAGUGAUGAAGGUCUUCGGAUCGUAAAACUCUGUUAUUAGGGAAGAACAUAUGUGUAAGUAACUGUGCACAUCUUGACGGUACCUAAUCAGAAAGCCACGGCUAACUACGUG
Molecule: ribosomal RNA, 497 nt
Filed under: uncultured bacterium
Lineage: Bacteria
Description: partial 16S ribosomal RNA
Rfam family: Bacterial small subunit ribosomal RNA
Source: RNAcentral